RNAcentral lists this ribosomal RNA (253 nucleotides) under uncultured bacterium. RNAcentral describes it as "partial 16S ribosomal RNA". It matches the Rfam family "Bacterial small subunit ribosomal RNA", at positions 524 to 776 of the family's 1533-position model. The record is from RNAcentral.
UACGGAGGGUGCAAGCGUUAUCCGGAUUUACUGGGUUUAAAGGGUGCGUAGGCGGGCAUGUAAGUCUGUGGUGAAAUACCGGAGCUUAACUUCGGAACUGCCAUUGAUACUAGAUGUCUUGAAUAUUGUGGAGGUAAGCGGAAUAUGUCAUGUAGCGGUGAAAUGCAUAGAUAUGAGAUAGAACACCGAUUGCGGAGGCAGCUUGCUACGCAAAUAUUGACGCUGAGGCGCGAAAGCGUGGGGAGCAAACAGG